AUCCAGCUGACGAGUCCUUAAUAAGACCAAAUGCGUGUCCUGGAU
Molecule: non-coding RNA, 45 nt
Filed under: Schistosoma curassoni
Lineage: Eukaryota; Metazoa; Platyhelminthes; Trematoda; Strigeidida; Schistosomatidae
Source: RNAcentral